This 108-nucleotide non-coding RNA is filed under the name Peptoniphilus indolicus. RNAcentral's name for it is "Glycine sequence". It matches the Rfam family "Glycine riboswitch aptamer". Rfam says of the family: This family represents the bacterial glycine riboswitch. The record is from RNAcentral. Lineage: Bacteria; Bacillati; Bacillota; Tissierellia; Tissierellales; Peptoniphilaceae. RNAcentral also lists the same sequence under 1 other name.
GAUCAUUACUCUGGAGAAGUCUUACCAUGGAUUUAGGUAAGAUGCCGAAGGUGCAACACAGCUUAUAAACUGUGAAAUCUCUCAGGCAAAAGGGACAGAGAUGCGGNN